UCACCCCUCAAGCCCCGUGCUUGGUGUUGGACGGCCGGCCGAGCGAUCGACCCCUCCGAAAGACAAUGACGGCGGCCUGUGGUUCCCCCGGUACACUGAGCUUUUCACCGAGCACGUACCGGACCAGGGCACCCGGGACCCGGUCCUCUCCUUUCACUAGGAAACUUCUAU
Molecule: unclassified non-coding RNA, 171 nt
Filed under: uncultured Cladophialophora
Lineage: Eukaryota; Fungi; Ascomycota; Eurotiomycetes; Chaetothyriales; Herpotrichiellaceae
Description: sequence contains ITS2
Source: RNAcentral